This 365-nucleotide ribosomal RNA is filed under the name Durinskia baltica. Its description in RNAcentral is "partial Bacterial large subunit ribosomal RNA". It matches the Rfam family "Bacterial large subunit ribosomal RNA", at positions 407 to 773 of the family's 2925-position model. Lineage: Eukaryota; Dinophyceae; Peridiniales; Kryptoperidiniaceae. The record is from RNAcentral.
CUCGAGUAAGGCGGGACACGUGAAAUCCUGUCUGAAAUUGGGGGGACCACCCUCCAAGCCUAAAUACUCGCACAUGACCGAUAGCGAACACAGUACCGUGAGGGAAAGGUGAAAAGCACCCCGAUUAGGGGAGUGAAACAGUACCUGAAACCGGAUGCUUACAAGCAGUUGGAGCCCCAUAGGGGGUGACAGCGUACCUCUUGCAUAAUGGGUCAGUGACUUAAUUUAUCGAGCAAGCUUAAGCCGUUAGGUGUAGGCGUAGCGAAAGCGAGUCUGAAUAGGGCGACUGAGUUCGAUGAAUUAGACCCGAACCCCGGCGAUCUAGGCAUGGCCAGGUUGAAGGUGCGGUAACACGCACUGGAGGA